AAAAAGAUAAGCUAACAAAGCUAACGGGUUCAUACCCCGUCUAUAAAGGUCUUAAUCCUUUUCUUUUUA
Molecule: transfer RNA, 69 nt
Filed under: Anoplistes halodendri
Lineage: Eukaryota; Metazoa; Arthropoda; Insecta; Coleoptera; Cerambycidae
Description: tRNA-Met
Source: RNAcentral